GUAAGUUUUGCCCAAAAUAUGUGUACCACUGCAGUAUAAGCCUAUUUACCUUUCAUUCUAUUGAGCACAAUGGGGCUUAUUUCUGGGUCCAUGGCAACAGAUAAAGCUGUCCUAGAAAUGAUGUUAGAUUGAAGGAGGAAAAGAAGUUCUUCGAAAAUCUCAAACUAUUUGAUUCCACAUUUGUUAUGAAGGACAACCAGGAAGUGCAAGGCUGUUGUCAGCCAGAUUCGCAGCACGUGGACGAUAGAGAACAGCUUGUACCUCAGACACAUGAAUACAAUUCCAAACAGCAAUCAAAAUAAGUCCAAAAGUAGGAAAGGCGGAGGAAGUUA
Molecule: long non-coding RNA, 332 nt
Organism: Pantherophis guttatus
Lineage: Eukaryota; Metazoa; Chordata; Lepidosauria; Squamata; Colubridae
Source: RefSeq, a predicted model, not a curated record